RNAcentral lists this ribosomal RNA (497 nucleotides) under uncultured bacterium. RNAcentral describes it as "partial 16S ribosomal RNA". It matches the Rfam family "Bacterial small subunit ribosomal RNA", at positions 28 to 507 of the family's 1533-position model. The record is from RNAcentral.
GAUGAACGCUGGCGGCGUGCCUAAUACAUGCAAGUCGAGCGAACAGACGAGGAGCUUGCUCCUCUGACGUUAGCGGCGGACGGGUGAGUAACACGUGGAUAACCUACCUAUAAGACUGGGAUAACUUCGGGAAACCGGAGCUAAUACCGGAUAAUAUAUUGAACCGCAUGGCUCAAUAGUGAAAGACGGUUUUGCUGUCACUUAUAGAUGGAUCCGCGCCGCAUUAGCUAGUUGGUAAGGUAACAGCUUACCAAGGCAACGAUGCGUAGCCGACCUGAGAGGGUGAUCGGCCACACUGGAACUGAGACACGGUCCAGACUCCUACGGGAGGCAGCAGUAGGGAAUCUUCCGCAAUGGGCGAAAGCCUGACGGAGCAACGCCGCGUGAGUGAUGAAGGUCUUCGGAUCGUAAAACUCUGUUAUUAGGGAAGAACAAAUGUGUAAGUAACUAUGCACGUCUUGACGGUACCUAAUCAGAAAGCCACGGCUAACUACGUG